AUUUCCGGAUUUGCGCACGCAUUUUUGGUUCGUAGAUAGACCGCUGUACCGCAUAUCAACGCAUUUACGAGCUGCAAGAACGCGAAAAGUUAAUCUCUACAAAAAUAAAAGCCUGCCUGCCCUCUGAAACUGACCGGAUGCCGAAUAGAAGAUCAGUAGAACUGAUUUCAAGAGCACACGAGAACACAUGUAUGUGCAAAGAAAGCGAAGACCAGAAUUCGGCAUCUUCUUUCCUCUCGAGGCGUGCUACCAAACCGCCAUCUUGCAUGCAUUGUCUUGAAGAAGCCAGCGGAAUGUAACGUGCUUGUAGGCGAUGGACUGGGUUUAUAAUGCGGAGAGGACUAGAAGCUGUGAGUUUCACCGCCACCGGCAGAAGUGACGUUUUCGUGGCAACCCUGGAGAUUGAUCCCUAAUGCUAUUUCAGCGAUUAAAAGGGGGAGAGAUAUCGUUAACGAUAAAGUUACGUAACUAACUAAUUUGUUUUUAAGUUAAUAGUGGACUUAUUUAUUGCACAUAACAUAUGAUUAAAUUAUAUGGAAGUAAACGAUUUACGAAAUAUUUUGAUACCCGAUUAUUCUAAGGGUUGAUUUGGGAAAAAAAAAACAGUGAUUUUGGUGUAGAAGUUACGAUACUGUAUAUCCCUACCAGUUACAGGUAGCGCAAAGAAAAAUCAGACAGGUUGAGCAAGCUCGAUAGCUCUUACCUUUUUUAUGAUGUUCUUCUGGUAGUAAUAUCUUAGCGCGCGGCUUAGCUUGUCGUAGUUCAUGCCUGGCCUUUGCUUGAGGUCGCCCCAUCUUCGCGCGACUUCCUCCUGGUUCCGGAGCUUGAACUCACCCUCCUCCUUCUUCGUCCAAGAUAUCAUCGACGCGCAGCUCUCGUCGGCAAGCAGCUCCAGUAGAAACUCCCAGAGAUGCACUGCGGGCUUUGUACCAGUCAAUCUAAUUGUCUUUUCCUCUUCAUAUUCAAACAAAAAAUACGCAUUUAGAACUGUUCAAGAAAGGUGUCAGGCAAUACUCUGAGGAAAUCUCCGUACAGACAGCGCCAGCAUUGCUGGCAAGACGCUUGCGAGACGUUGGUCCAUCGUCCCCAAACAACAACAACAACAACAACAACAACAACAACAACAACGAAAAGUCAGUUUUCAAAAAUAAAAAUAUUAAUAGAUAGUAUAAAAAAAGUAAAGAUGAAGGAAUUGCCGUAUAAGUAUAAUAUACUUAUUUUUAUCUGUUAUUCAGCCAAUUUUGAGCCGAUUAUUAGAUAAACAAAUAUAUUUCUUAGCCUUGACCAAAUAAAAGUGUCCAAUGUCAAAGGCCGGACGAUUUUUCCCGUAGUCAUCGUUACAGGUUCCGGCAUUUGAUUUUUAGUAAUCCUAGUGAAUUUUUUUUUUCUAGAUUUCACAUACUCUUGUCCCAAAAUAUAUAGAACCAUAAUUACUUUGCAUUCUUUCUUACUUACAUACACAUACACAAUUUCAUUGCGAGCUCUGGACCGGAGAAAUUCACCAACGUUUCCGCAAAACGAGGAACGUCAAAAACGGGAAACAAAAAUUUGAUUAGACUAAAGGUCUAGGAGUAUCCGCCCACGUAUUGAAUGAACA
Nematostella vectensis (starlet sea anemone) is the source of this 1597-nucleotide long non-coding RNA. RefSeq lists it as uncharacterized. The transcript has 3 exons. NCBI's taxonomy places the organism in Eukaryota, Metazoa, Cnidaria, Anthozoa, Actiniaria, Edwardsiidae. The record is from RefSeq and is a predicted model, not a curated record.